Molecule: ribosomal RNA, 585 nt
Filed under: uncultured bacterium
Lineage: Bacteria
Description: partial 16S ribosomal RNA
Rfam family: Bacterial small subunit ribosomal RNA
Source: RNAcentral
UGGGGAAUUUUGGACAAUGGGCGAAAGCCUGAUCCAGCAAUGCCGCGUGUGUGAAGAAGGCCUUCGGGUUGUAAAGCACUUUUGUCCGGAAAGAAAUCCUUGGCUCUAAUACAGUCGGGGGAUGACGGUACCGGAAGAAUAAGCACCGGCUAACUACGUGCCAGCAGCCGCGGUAAUACGUAGGGUGCAAGCGUUAAUCGGAAUUACUGGGCGUAAAGCGUGCGCAGGCGGUUUGCUAAGACCGAUGUGAAAUCCCCGGGCUCAACCUGGGAACUGCAUUGGUGACUGGCAGGCUAGAGUAUGGCAGAGGGGGGUAGAAUUCCACGUGUAGCAGUGAAAUGCGUAGAGAUGUGGAGGAAUACCGAUGGCGAAGGCAGCCCCCUGGGCCAAAUACUGACGCUCAUGCACGAAAGCGUGGGGAGCAAACAGGAUUAGAUACCCUGGUAGUCCACGCCCUAAACGAUGUCAACUAGUUGUUGGGGAUUCAUUUCCUUAGUAACGUAGCUAACGCGUGAAGUUGACCGCCUGGGGAGUACGGUCGCAAGAUUAAAACUUAAAGGAAUUGACGGGGUCAUAGCUGUUUCC